Molecule: ribosomal RNA, 1413 nt
Filed under: uncultured bacterium
Lineage: Bacteria
Description: partial 16S ribosomal RNA
Rfam family: Bacterial small subunit ribosomal RNA
Source: RNAcentral
AGAGUUUGAUCCUGGCUCAGGACGAACGCUGGCGGCGUGCCUAAUACAUGCAAGUCGAGCGAAUGACUAGAGAAGCUUGCUUCUCUAUGAUUUAGCGGCGGACGGGUGAGUAACACGUGGGUAACCUACCCUAUAGACUGGGAUAACUUCGGGAAACCGGAGCUAAUACCGGAUAAUACUUCGAACCACAUGGUUUGAAGUUGAAAGUUGGCCUCGGCUAACACUUACGGAUGGGCCCGCGGCGCAUUAGCUAGUUGGUGAGGUAACGGCUCACCAAGGCAACGAUGCGUAGCCGACCUGAGAGGGUGAUCGGCCACACUGGGACUGAGACACGGCCCAGACUCCUACGGGAGGCAGCAGUAGGGAAUCUUCCGCAAUGGACGAAAGUCUGACGGAGCAACGCCGCGUGAGUGAAGAAGGCCUUCGGGUCGUAAAACUCUGUUGUCAGGGAAGAACAAGUACCGUUCAAAUAGGGCGGUACCUUGACGGUACCUGACCAGAAAGCCACGGCUAACUACGUGCCAGCAGCCGCGGUAAUACGUAGGUGGCAAGCGUUGUCCGGAAUUAUUGGGCGUAAAGCGCGCGCAGGCGGUCCUUUAAGUCUGAUGUGAAAGCCCACGGCUCAACCAUGGAGGGUCAUUGGAAACUGGGAGACUUGAGUGCAGAAGAGGAUAGUGGAAUUCCAAGUGUAGCGGUGAAAUGCGUAGAGAUUUGGAGGAACACCAGUGGCGAAGGCGACUGUCUGGUCUGUAACUGACACUGAGGAGCGAAAGCAUGGGGAGCGAACAGGAUUAGAUACCCUGGUAGUCCAUGCCGUAAACGUUGGGCACUAGGUGUGGGGCUCAUUCCACGAGUUCCGUGCCGCAGCAAACGCAUUAAGUGCCCCGCCUGGGGAGUACGGCCGCAAGGCUAAAACUCAAAGAAAUUGACGGGGGCCCGCACAAGCGGCGGAGCAUGCGGAUUAAUUCGAUGCAACGCGAAGAACCUUACCAAGGCUUGACAUACACCGGAAAAGUGCAGAGAUGUGCUCCCCGCAAGGUCGGUGUACAGGUGGUGCAUGGUUGUCGUCAGCUCGUGUCGUGAGAUGUUGGGUUAAGUCCCGCAACGAGCGCAACCCUCGUCCCAUGUUGCCAGCGGGUUAUGCCGGGGACUCAUGGGAGACUGCCGGGGUCAACUCGGAGGAAGGUGGGGAUGACGUCAAAUCAUCAUGCCCCUUAUGUCUUGGGCUUCACGCAUGCUACAAUGGCCGGUACAAAGGGCUGCGAUACCGCGAGGUGGAGCGAAUCCCAAAAAGCCGGUCUCAGUUCGGAUUGGGGUCUGCAACUCGACCCCAUGAAGUCGGAGUCGCUAGUAAUCGCAGAUCAGCAACGCUGCGGUGAAUAAGUUCCCGGGCCUUGCACACACCGCCCGUCA